Molecule: ribosomal RNA, 439 nt
Filed under: uncultured bacterium
Lineage: Bacteria
Description: partial 16S ribosomal RNA
Rfam family: Bacterial small subunit ribosomal RNA
Source: RNAcentral
CCUACGGGAGGCUGCAGUGGGGGAUAUUGCACAAUGGGGGAAACCCUGAUGCAGCGACGCCGCGUGAGUGAAGAAGUAUUUCGGUAUGUAAAGCUCUAUCAGCCGGGAAGAAAAUGACAGUACCUGACCAAGAAGCCCCGGCAAACUACGUGCCAGCAGCCGCGGUAAUACGGAGGAUGCGAGCGUUAUCCGGAUUUAUUGGGUUUAAAGGGUGCGUAGGCGGACUGUUAAGUCAGCGGUAAAAGCCCGGGGCUCAACCCCGGCGAGCCGUUGAAACUGGCUGUCUUGAGAUGUCGAGAGGUAUGCGGAAUGCGCAGUGUAGCGGUGAAAUGCUUAGAUAUUGCGCAGAACUCCGAUUGCGAAGGCAGCAUACCGGCGGCGAUCUGACGCUGAGGCACGAAAGCGUGGGUAUCGAACAGGAUUAGAUACCCGGGUAGUC